RNAcentral lists this unclassified non-coding RNA (1608 nucleotides) under Caenorhabditis elegans. RNAcentral's name for it is "Non-coding transcript of protein-coding gene F57H12.5c". The record is from RNAcentral. Lineage: Eukaryota; Metazoa; Nematoda; Chromadorea; Rhabditida; Rhabditidae.
AUGGAAAAGAAGGAGAAGAAGUCAGUGAUUCAAAGAGUGAAAAGGACGCUUCGGCAGAGGAGCAAAAGUACGGACGCUAGCAGUGAACAGAAGAAAGGGACGAAGACUGUUGACGACGCGGAAGCUCCCUCGAAAAUUACCAGAGUGAAGGCGGCAAUCACGAAUCGUACAAGAUCCAUAGGAAUCAAGAUCUCAAUUUCGAAAGAGUGCAAUACGACAACUAGCAAAGGUAGUUCUCGGGAGUCGGAUCAAAAGACGAAAAACUCCGUUCUGAGUUCAGUAGACAUGGAAGAGGACCCAGAAGCACCUGUGCAGACCCCGGAUUUGAUGAUGAUUGAGAUCAAGAAGGAAGAGCUGAAAGAGAAGAAAGAGAAGGAGAAGAAAGAUGAAGAGAAACGGGAGAGACAGGAGGAUAGGAAAGAGGAGAGAAAAGAGAAUAAGAGAGAAGAUAAGAAAGAAGAAAAGAAAGAAGAAAAGAAAGAAGAAAAGAAAGAAGUGAGGAAGGACUGCCGGGAAAAUUCGGUGUAUUUCAUGGAAAGGUCGGAUGAGAAGGGGGUGAAGAAGAAGCACUCGAAGAAGCACUCGAAGCAGAAAACAAAGAUGUGGCUGGGAAUGCCUUCUGCGCUCAACUUCUGCAACAAGAACAAUGACAUCCAAAAGAUUCGAGAAGAAUUUGGGUUCCUCGACUCGCUUGUCUGCAACAAGACCACUGAAGCUUUUGAAGCAAACAAAGUUCGAAAUCGUGAAGGGUGUCCGAAGAUCUACGAUGAAAAUCGGGUUCAACUGAAUCGUCCAGGACACGAGGAUGUCAACUACAUCAACGCCAGUGUCAUCACCUUGACAGAUUUCGAGCACAAGCUAAUCGUCGCCCAACUUCCCCAGAUGGAAAACGAAAGUUUCGUGGAAGACUUUUGGUACAUGAUCUACCAGGAACAGAUACAUCUUGUCUACUUGAUGGUCCCGGAUGACAAGCUGAAGAACACCACGACUUCUUUGUUCAACGACGAGAAUGGUGGCUAUCAGUACACUGGAAAGAUGUUUAUCAACAAUCGGCGUGCCGACGUUUCUGGAGAUCCAAAGGAAUAUACGAUUGAAGUAUUGCCCGAAGGAAAUUCAGAUUCUGUCAUAUGCCAGGUAUGGUCUCAAGAACAUAACAUGAACAGGAAAAAUUAAAUUUAGGUUCAUCAUCAUGCUCCAUGGAAGCAUCUGCAGCAACCACCAAAAACUCUUCCGAUCAUCAAAAUGAUUCACCAAUUUCUUUCGGAGAAGCAGGUGCAAAACGCUGGAGUCUGCGUGGUCAGCUUGUUCGGAUGCGGUCGUGCGUGCAGCUUCAUUGGUGCUCUCUACGCAAUCAACCAGCUCAAUAAUGGAAUUGAGCCCAAUAUUUGCGAGAUCAUGAAGAAUAUCAAACAGCAGCGUCCAGGAGGAGUCGAAUCUUUUGCUCAAUACGCCAGUAUUUAUGCAAUUGUGUUUGACUACAUUGCGCGCAAACGUGGCGGAAAGAAGGCUCCCGUAAACAAGGACAUCAAUCGAUUCAUUGAUGAGCUCGCCGAGAUCUCCCCAGCAUGCUCCCCGACAAAAGUGAUGCCUUUGAGCACUGAGCUAUAG